CCUACGGGAGGCAGCAGUGGGGAAUAUUGCACAAUGGGGGAAACCCUGAUGCAGCCAUGCCGCGUGUGUGAAGAAGGCCUUCGGGUUGUAAAGCACUUUCAGUUGUGAGGAAAAGUUAGUAGUUAAUACCUGCUAGCCGUGACGUUAACAACAGAAGAAGCACCGGCUAACUCCGUGCCAGCAGCCGCGGUAAUACGGAGGGUGCGAGCGUUAAUCGGAAUUACUGGGCGUAAAGCGCACGCAGGCGGUUUGUUAAGCUAGAUGUGAAAGCCCCGGGCUCAACCUGGGAUGGUCAUUUAGAACUGGCAGACUAGAGUCUUGGAGAGGGGAGUGGAAUUCCAGGUGUAGCGGUGAAAUGCGUAGAUAUCUGGAGGAACAUCAGUGGCGAAGGCGACUCCCUGGCCAAAGACUGACGCUCAUGUGCGAAAGUGUGGGUAGCGAACAGGAUUAGAUACCCUGGUAGUCCACACCGUAAACGCUGUCUACUAGCUGUGUGUGUCUUUAAGACGUGCGUAGCGAAGCUAACGCGCUAAGUAGACCGCCUGGGGAGUACGGNCGCAAGGUUAAAACUCAAAUGAAUUGACGG
This 586-nucleotide ribosomal RNA is filed under the name uncultured bacterium. Its description in RNAcentral is "bacterial SSU rRNA". It matches the Rfam family "Bacterial small subunit ribosomal RNA", at positions 338 to 916 of the family's 1533-position model. The record is from RNAcentral.